GAUGAAGAACGCAGCGAAAUGCGAUAAGUAAUGUGAAUUGCAGAAUUCAGUGAAUCAUCGAAUCUUUGAACGCACAUUGCGCCCCUUGGUAUUCCGAGGGGCAUGCCUUUUCGAGCGUCAUUAUAACCCUCAAGCUCAGCUUGGUGUUGGGGCCUGCUGCACUGGCAGCCCUUAAAAUCAGUGGCGGCGCCAUCUGGCUCUAAGCGUAGUAAUUCUUCUCGCUAUGGAGUCCUGGUGGAUGCUUGCCAUCAACCCCCAAUUUUUCUAUGGUUGACCUCGGAUCAGGUAGGGAUACCCGCUGAACUUAAGCAUAUCAAUAAGCGGAGGA
This 328-nucleotide unclassified non-coding RNA is filed under the name soil metagenome. Its description in RNAcentral is "partial contains 5.8S ribosomal RNA, internal transcribed spacer 2, and large subunit ribosomal RNA". The stretch from base 1 to 120 matches the Rfam family "5.8S ribosomal RNA", at positions 35 to 154 of the family's 154-position model. The record is from RNAcentral.